AUUGAACGCUGGCGGCAUGCCUUACACAUGCAAGUCGAACGGUAACGCGGGGCAACCUGGCGACGAGUGGCGAACGGGUGAGUAAUGCAUCGGAACGUGCCCAGAAGUGGGGGAUAGCCCGGCGAAAGCCGGAUUAAUACCGCAUGAGACCUGAAGGUGAAAGCGGGGGAUCGCAAGACCUCGCGCUUUUGGAGCGGCCGAUGUCAGAUUAGCUAGUUGGUGGGGUAAAGGCCUACCAAGGCGACGAUCUGUAGCUGGUCUGAGAGGACGACCAGCCACACUGGGACUGAGACACGGCCCAGACUCCUACGGGAGGCAGCAGUGGGGAAUUUUGGACAAUGGGCGCAAGCCUGAUCCAGCCAUGCCGCGUGCGGGAAGAAGGCCUUCGGGUUGUAAACCGCUUUUGUCAGGGAAGAAACGCUCUGGGCUAAUACCCUGGGGUAAUGACGGUACCUGAAGAAUAAGCACCGGCUAACUACGUG
Molecule: ribosomal RNA, 482 nt
Filed under: uncultured bacterium
Lineage: Bacteria
Description: partial 16S ribosomal RNA
Rfam family: Bacterial small subunit ribosomal RNA
Source: RNAcentral